AGGGAAUCUUCCACAAUGGACGAAAGUCUGAUGGAGCAACGCCGCGUGAGUGAAGAAGUAUUUCGGUAUGUAAAGCUCUAUCAGCAGGGAAGAAAAUGACGGUACCUGACUAAGAAGCCCCGGCUAACUAC
This 131-nucleotide ribosomal RNA is filed under the name uncultured bacterium. RNAcentral's name for it is "partial 16S ribosomal RNA". It matches the Rfam family "Bacterial small subunit ribosomal RNA", at positions 356 to 504 of the family's 1533-position model. The record is from RNAcentral.